Molecule: long non-coding RNA, 402 nt
Organism: Oncorhynchus keta (chum salmon)
Lineage: Eukaryota; Metazoa; Chordata; Actinopteri; Salmoniformes; Salmonidae
Exons: 3
Source: RefSeq, a predicted model, not a curated record
ACCCUCCCCACUACGGGUAGGUAUAACCCCCUCUAACCCUCCCCACUACGGGUAGGUCUAACCCCCUCUAACCCUCUCCACUACGGGUAGGUCUAACCCCCUCUAACCCUCCCCACUACGGGUAGGUCUAACCCCCUCUAACCCUCCCCACUACGGGUAGGUCUAACCCCCUCUAACCCUCUCCACUACGGGUAGGUCUAACCCCCUCUAACCCUCUCCACUACGGGUAGGUCUAACCCCCUCUAACCCUCCCCACUACGGGUAGGUCUAACUCUCCCCGCUACGGGUAGGUCUAACUCUCCCCGCUACGGGUAGGUCUAACUCUCCCCGCUACGGGUAGGUCUAACUCUCCCCGCUACGGGUAGGUCUAACUCUCCCCGCUACGGGUAGGUCUAACUCUCC